RNAcentral lists this ribosomal RNA (254 nucleotides) under uncultured bacterium. RNAcentral describes it as "partial 16S ribosomal RNA". It matches the Rfam family "Bacterial small subunit ribosomal RNA", at positions 524 to 776 of the family's 1533-position model. The record is from RNAcentral.
CACGUAGGGGGCGAGCGUUGUCCGGAUUUAUUGGGCGUAAAGAGCUCGUAGGCGGCUCGGUAAGUCGGGUGUGAAACCUCCAGGCUCAACCAGGAGACGCCACCCGAUACUACCGUGGCUAGAGUCCGGUAGAGGAGCGUAGAAUUCCUGGUGUAGCGGUGAAAUGCGCAGAUAUCAGGAGGAAUACCAGCGGCGAAGGCGGCGCUCUGGGCCGGUACUGACGCUGAGGAGCGAAAGCGUGGGGAGCAAACAGG